UGACCGUGCGAAGGUAGCAUAAUCAUUAGUCUUUUAAUUGGAGGCUGGAAUGAAUGGUUAGACGAGAAAUUAACUGUCUUGAAUUUUGAAAUUUGAAUUUAACUUUUAAGUGAGAAGGCUUAAAUGGGCUAGGGGGACGAUAAGACCCUAUAAAGUUUGUACAUUAGGCUAAUUAAGAGUGAUUUAGAUUUAUAAGGCUUUAUUAUUAGGGGGUGUUAAGUUGGGGCGACUAGGAUAUAAUUUAUAUAACUGUUUCUUUAUUAUAAUCAGAAAUAUUUGAGUUUAUGAUCCUUUUUUAGGAUUUUUAGAGUAAAUUACUUUAGGGAUAACAGCGUAAUUUUUUUUGAGAGUUCAUAUCGAUAAAAGAGUUUGCGACCUCGAUGUUGAAUUAAAAUUUCUUUGUGAUGCAGCAGUUACAUGAGAAGGUCUGUUCGACCUUUAAAAUUUUACAUGAUUUGAGUUCAGACCGGCGUGAGCCAGGUUGGUUUCUAUCUA
Molecule: ribosomal RNA, 495 nt
Filed under: Cherax parvus
Lineage: Eukaryota; Metazoa; Arthropoda; Malacostraca; Decapoda; Parastacidae
Description: partial 16S ribosomal RNA
Rfam family: Archaeal large subunit ribosomal RNA
Source: RNAcentral